GAGAAGUUUAGUCACGUGCUCGAGAAGAAGUAUCCUAGUCGCUGAGCCACUAUCACAAAAACCUAAAACGCGUGACGAUUUUAUUCUCGUACUCUCGUUCACCAUCGAAGUGUGAAAUAAAAGUCGUCAUCAUCAACACUUUAGUGCGAGAAACGUACGAGUUUAAAGUAAGGAGGAAAUCCAACUGUACCCUUUUCUGUUACAUCUACAGGUCUGAUACAUUUUCGUCACAAUUGCUGAUACAAGAGUGCUACGGGAAUUUCAUUUAAAGUCACAGAAAUUCAAAUACAAUGUUUGCAGUUUAUUACAGGUGAUCGAGAAUGUACAGAGGAGGAUGUCAAAGACAUUUCAAGAUAAAAGGGAAAUUCUUGUGAAUAAAGUUAAAGCAUAAGAUAAAACAUAUGUCUUCAUCGUGUUGAAGGAGUCGCUUUGACAAAACCAAGCGACGCUUACUUCAUUAAAUAAUCAAUUUACAUAACAGAGAACAUGCAAAUCUUGUUUACAAGACAUACAGCAAUAUGUCAGAGUUGAUGAUAAACCACUAUAGUGAAAAGCAAUUUCAAUGAAGUUGAACGUAAGGACGUUGACGAGUAUUGUGAUUUUCAUCACACUAUAUACUGCAUGUGUUGUGCUCUAUGUAACUUAUACAGAUCAACAGAUCCUCCUGAAAGGGGAAAGGAAAAUUAAUAAUCGUACAACAUUAAUACGAAGGAAAUGGAGUCAUAGAAAACGUGCCACAUUACAAGCAAUGACAGAUGAUAUGAAAGACAAUAUAAUUCGCCACUUACAGAAACGGGUUAAUUUUUUGCUUCGUGAGUUGAACAGCAUUAAGAAUAAAUGUAAUUUACAAGAGGAAAGAGACGACACGGUUCCAGGUAACGAAGACUUAGAGUCCAACACAAAGUUAAACAAUGGACAAGUUAUCGCUAAAGCUGAUUUUCUCACAUCCUACAGUCGACGAACGACGUUGCAUAUAAUAUGUUUUCGGCAGAAAAACUUUAUCAAGUAAAUUCUAUCGCUCGUCCAAGUAAAGUUUUCACAAAAGAAAGUUUUCAGAGACAAGGAAAGCACGAACAUCUAUCACGUGCUUCAGAUGAAGCGAAGAUAUUUGUUAAGAAAUCUAUGAAAUUCACAUCAAAUGUCAAUCUAACAUUAAAAACGGGCUUGUUUCGUGAAAAUGCAAACCUUGGUGUACAGUACGAGAUUCAUUUAGAAGCAAAGUCGGCAAACAGACGCGAAACCUAUGGUGUAACACUUGCACAACCUUUAUCCCCCUUUGUCCUACUUUCUCCACCUGUAAAACAAACCUCGAUACAUUAGUGAACAUCAUUGUACCACUACAAGGAAGGCUGGAGCGAUUUGAAGAAUAUCUCCAUCAUUUCAAACGCGUUUGUCUGCAACGCAACGAAAACGUAUACCUUACGGUGGUAUAUAGUGGUGAGAAAGGAGUUAAGAAUGUGCUAAAAUUGUUGAAUAAUUUACGAAAAGAAACGAGCUUUACAAACUUCAACCUAUUGACGAAAAAAGAAAGUUUCAAUCGUGGACAAUUACUUCAUGUAGCAGCAACUCAGUGGAAAGGUGAUGAAAAUGUGUUGAUGUUUUUUGUGAUGUAGAUAUCUCAUUUGAACCGGAUUUUCUCGAACGGUGUCGCAUGUUUACAAAACCAGCGGGCUCAGUGUACUUUCCAAUCGUGUUCAAUUACUACAAUCCAUACUACGUACGACAGGAAACAGAUAAAUUAUGGAAAAUAUCCAGAAAGACCGGAUAUUGGCGUAUCCAUGGGUACGGAAUGGCGUGUCAUCAUCGUCAAGAUUACUUUCGUGUUGGUGGCUUUGACCUCAAUAUCAGUGGAUGGGGAACUGAAGACGUCAAAUUGCAUCAAAAAUAUGUCAGACAAGGCGAAAUUCGUGUCAUACGAGCACCGGACAGCGGUAUCUUUCAUCACUUCCAUCACAAAGAGUGCAGUACCACGUUACCAAAGAAACAAUAUCGCAACUGCGAGUCUUCGCGACUCAACACAGAAGCAUCAAAAUACCAAUAUGGAAGAGAGGUUUUAAGACUUAAGAAAAUGAUGAAGAGUUUCGUGUAAGAUAUAGAGCAUUAAUACAGUGAUUAUCUUUGUUCAAAUAUUAAAUGGAUUGGAUCAAUUAUCACUCCAGUAA
Molecule: long non-coding RNA, 2162 nt
Organism: Xenia sp. Carnegie-2017
Lineage: Eukaryota; Metazoa; Cnidaria; Anthozoa; Malacalcyonacea; Xeniidae
Exons: 2
Source: RefSeq, a predicted model, not a curated record